CCUCUUCUGCUAACGUCUAGUAACUGCUAUAGCUGUGGUAAUUUGACCAUGUGUCCCUAGCUUCAAAGUCAGACAAAGCAGAUGAGACAUGAACUGCAUGUGUCUGACUGGAUGCAUUUUAAUCCCAGACAGCCUCCUGCUCAAACCUAUGUGCCAUUAUUGAUCUGGUGCUGUACUUCCCAGCACCUCUGGGGUGAAUGGUGCGAGCAACGAUGUCAAAAAUCCGCCCCGCCUCAGCAAAGCCCUUUGGGACUCCUGGAUUUUUCUUCAUUGGACCUAUAUCUUUUUCUUCCAGAAAUGAGACAAUGAUGAACGUGACGCUUUGGUUGCCAUGGGAACACAGCAUGAGGUCCCAAGACUUUGCCUGAAAGUGACUCCGCUGAGUCUCAAACAGUAGCUGCUGCUUUUCUUGAUGAAUCAAAAACCAACCUGCCUUUACAGUGGACUCCAUGCCUCUUUUACCAGUGCUGCACUCAGACCAAGGCUGCCUAUGGAUUCUAAUACCGACUAGGGAUUUACAAUAGUUUAUCUAUUUUUAAGUGAUGUUGGCAACCUAAUUUUGACUCAAUAGCUCCAUGUUGCUGAAGGAAAAAGAGAAGAAGAAUAAUCGCAAAACACGAAAUAAGCAGAAAUGAUUCCAGUGAGGUGUUUUGAUCACCCCGAUCUGGUUUCUACUGCCACGAGUGUGAACAAGACAGAAUUUUCCAGGUUUUGAAAGAAAUCAUCCUGUGUAUUAACCUCAAGCAAAACUUGAGAAGCAGAAGACCACCCACUGCAGAAAACAAGGCAGGCACAUCCUGCACAUUGUGGGAUGGUUGGAGCUGUUAAAAUUCUACAUAAACCUGACAAAAAGCCUUGUUCAUCACACUAUAUUUGCUGUUGUGUCCCUUGACCUGGAAGCUGAUUGCUCUUACUGCAGGUAGGGAAAUUAAGCCUCUUCUAAGAAAGUAAAUUUUCUGAUUUUUCCAACAAGAGACCAAUAAAAUCACAUGCGGGGCCCACACCCCUCUGGUAAGCUGAGCGCAAAGCAGCCUGAGAAGCUACGUGCAGUGGUUGCUGCUCUGUUGGGCUCCUCUGCCGCAGGAUGAGGGGCUGCCUCUCAAAAAUAGGCCACGGAAGAUAGAUCUGCUCGUGAUCCACGUGCAACUGAAGAGCGACAGUGUGGCUGUUGCCUCUUUACCCAGACAGUUACUCCACUGUCUUACCCAUUCAACUUCAACCUUCCACUAGUACCUCCGAAAUGAUGGACUGUCUUUAGGCUCAUUUGCACCAAAUCCAAAUGACCCUCUUCUUCACCCAAUAUCCAUUUGCACCCAAUAUUCGGAAUUGCAAAGGUAUCCUUUGGAAACAAGCCCAGACCACAGAGACAAUUCAGAGCAGAAGAGGGCAGAGGAGUCAAAUUUCAGCAUUAUGUACUCAUUUUGGGUUUGUGACCAUGCAAAGCACGAAUGUAAAUACCAAAGUUUUGCAAUCGUACCUCUGUAGAUAGAUUCUCUGCACCACACACAUUUUCAACGGUUUAGAGGAGAAGAGGAGCCAUCUUCAAGGCUCUAGUUCUAACGUGGGAGCCCAAGGACUCUCUCACGUUCUCCUUUUGCUGCAGUUCUUCCGAACUGAACAUGCUGACCUCCAAAUACAGUGUACUGGCCUUUUCUCUGCAACUCAGUGUACCUUGACCUCCCACGUCUGUUCUGUGAGAGAUGUCAUCUAAGGAACACCUCCUUAAAGUUAAGUGGAUAGAGGUUCAAAAUUUUGCAGAAAGGACGAGGGCUCAAGGCAGCACAUACAUUCGUGUCACACAGAGCAUUGCACCUGCACGAGAGAGACAGAGUGCUUCAGGUUCCUUAAAAGCCUUUUUGUUAAGAAGAAAACAACUUAAGAAUUGAAACUGUUGCCUGAAUCUGUCACUGAAAAAACAGGUUGUUUCUUUCAUCUGAGUCUUUCCGUGUGAGCCUGAGCUCCAACAGAGGCGAGGACCAUCGCCAGUGUGUGAAUUGGCAACUGGAAUGGGCUCCGCAAGGUUUGCUCAGGGUUCUUUCGGGGUCAGCAAUGGCUACAGCAUAGGAGACAGCGAGAUAAGGUCAUGGCAGGUGAACUAAAAGAAGAACCAAUUUUCCAAUCUAUUUUUAAGGUAUUAAAUUAACUCGUGUAGUGGGUACAGCUCAGCAAAACCUCGUGACCACACCUUCGUCGGGCUGUGAAUAACAGAUUAUAAUCAUUUUACAACAGCUACAGAUCAUGGCUGUGCCAUUACAUCUAGUGGGAAAAUACAGCUGCUUUUUGAGCAAAUAACAAUCCAUUGAUAGGCAGCUCUCUGACUCAGGAGAGGUUUAACACUGUAUAAAGCCUUUCAGCAAUGAAACCACUGUAAAUCUUGCCCAGGCAGGCUGAAGUAUCUGGAGAAAUACUUAUACCUUAGUGAUCAUGGAGCCUUAGAUUUGUGAUAAGAGAGAAAUCGUUGCCAUCUGAUCUGCUAGCCUGUGAGAUAUGAAUCAGAAGAGAGUAUAUGCCCUGUCCGGAGUUGAUAAGAUGUAUCAACAUAACAAAAACCAUCGUCAGUCUGACACCUCUGUUGUCAACCUCAGGAGAAAACAGAAAGGGUGACACAGUGCAGGCUGCCCUCUGGUUCCUCCGGGGCAAAGCUGAACCUUGUUAGCAAGGUGAGGAAAUACCAUGUCAGUGACACCCUGCUGAACUGGAGGCCUUUCAUGAUGAUGUAAAAAGAAUAUAAAAUUAUAUACCUACCUGAUUUUAGUAGCGUCGUCCCCCAACAAAUAAACGCUUUGCAGAAAAUCAAGCACAAUGCCUUUGGUAUCAUCAGCCCCAGCUGGUGGGGUUAUAAAGUUUGAGUGAGGUAAUCCCAGUUUUAUACGCUCAAUAAAAAAAUAUGGAACAACCUUCCCAGGACAAGAUCUUUAAGUAUAAGGUAACUUUCAGUUCACCUUUCACACCUGAAACAGUGCAUGCGACUAUACAAAGCAAACACAGCCCUUUCUGGUGUGUUUUGAAAUAAAUUGUCAUCCACGCUUAAACAUAUUGCAUCGUACUAUGUUUCCCCAGGGCCCCGAUAUUGUUACUAUCCUGACAGACACAGCCUCCUCCCAAAUUACACUUACUCUGACCUUACACACACUGACACAGAAACGCCUUUAAGACAAUGUUUGAUCUCAGAGGUGCUGCACACUCACAGAUGCAAACAUACACACAAAAUUAUGUCAGUCGUUUAAGUAAUCCUUGCUCGGCUGUCUUUUAAAAUGCCUCUUUCGUCUUUCUGUAACCAAAGGCUUUAAUAUUCAAAUGUUCAUGAGCACCAGCUUUAUUAAAAUUAGGGCUUGGGGAAAUGGUUUUGAAAAGGAGAAACGAAUAUUACCCAACCAUUUAAAAGAUGCUAAUUAAUGGAGUUCUAAAGCCUAGGGAGGCCAUUUGACAGAGCAGAGAUUCUUCUACUAGACAGAUUUGUAACUUAGGGGUUCGAGCGGCAGAGGUAGAAAUAAGAGACGAGUAAAAUAAAAUGCAAGUAGGUUAAGAAGAACAAUCCUCCAGGUGUUACAAGGACUCCAGAGUUUAGUUCUGUGCCAGUGAUUUGAGUUGUCUGCCUAUGAGAUCUAUGCAUGAAGAUUUUUUUCCUGGCCUUGAUGCAAAACAGAGUUUGUGUCUCUUCCCUGCUGGAUCUGCCCUGUGCUGGGAACAAGAAAGCAUAACCCACACAGUGUUGAGCUGCAGCCAGCCAAGAGCAACGGCUGCCAGCUGAGAUUGUGCUGUAGGAGUCACCAGGGCAUUUAUUUUAAGAUAAAUCUAAUCUGGAGGGUACAUGGGCAUAUCCAUACACAGGUGCACAAGGAGAGAGCUUAGCACUGGGAGUAGUAAAGAGACACUGGAAUGGUUAGAGCUUUUCACCUAGGCUUUUUUUAUGAUUAUUUCACCUGACUGUGUAAAAUCAGGGGAACCUCAGAAGACCCCCACUGUAAUACUCCUCUAGAUCCUGCCUAUCACUUCUGCUUUCAGCAGAAUAACUGAAUUCAUAUUAAUAUCUGUAUCACUCUACAGGCGUCCUAAUUUUUUCUCCCUCUCUGCUGCUUCCCCUUACUCCCUUGUUGUUCUCUCUGUGCACAGAUACAACCCUGGGUUAAGAACUGAAAAUAUUCCAUGGACUAUGGGAAUGGAUUCUUUUUGUGGGCCUGCAUACAUAUAUAUCUACUCCAGCUCCACGGUAAAAAACACGUAAAUCUGACAGUGAUUUGUAGCUGGAAUUUUGGUCAGAGGAUCUUUAUAUUGAUGCAGCUCUUGCCAGCUCAGUUGCUCUAAAAAGCCAGAGUGGUCUACUGGUUUGAAAUGCAUGAUCCAAGAAGUGAACUGAGAUAGGAACAGCAGCAAGGGGAACACAUACAGGAAAAAAUCUCCUCUCCAGUAGGUGCAUUGGAAGGAAGGAGCACUGCAUCCUAGAAGCACAGCUGCCCUCCACAUCUGCUGCUAAACUGAGCGAUGGAUUUUAGAGUUUGCUGACCCUGUUCUGCUGUAUUUAAUUCAUCAUUAGGACCUCAGCACUCUGAGAUAUGCCAGUGCAGCAAGUAGAUGAAGGAAGCUACCUGUAUUCUGUUUCUUCCAGAUGAGAGCUCUGUCCAUGUCCUCUUACUCCUUGCCUACUUCUUUUCCCCCAUGAACCCACUUUCUGAACCAGGCAGGUCACAUUGCAUGUGGUUUUACCCCACCUCCUGGUAAAAUUGUGUUACAGUGGUGCCUGGAGGCACUGCAGAGAGCAACAUCUUUGUAAGCCAUUCACCAUACAACUUUAGAAGAAAAAGAAAAUUUACCAUUCAGAUAUAAUUCCAGUCUGGAGAAAAUAACAGGAAGGAAGAGGACAAAUGAGGGAAUCAAUAAGAAGCCAACCAUAACCUUGAUCAACUAGACGUUCACAUGCAUAUCUGCCUUGUUUUUUCAUUUACUACACUAUAAAUAACACAGAGAGCUAAUAUCAGCCCUUGCCCUCCUAGUUCCAUCAUCUUCCCAUUGCCAGAUGGCAAUUUAAGUUGUCAUCCUUAUUUCCUCCAACCCAUAUCAGCUCAGUGCAAUCUGUUUGCAUUACAUUAAUCUGCACAGGGAGUGGUGUGCAACUGCUGCCUUUCCCCGAUCAGCCUUGGCUAAAGAAUCCCCUUUGGCUGAUGUAGUAAAAGAUGAAGGUAUUUGAAGCAAGAAGAUCUGAGGGUUUAGAUAAAACAUCAGGUCAUGGAGGCUUGAUAUUGCACAUCAGCGGAGCAAACGUACCUGUCCAUAUGUAUGCUCUUUGCCUGCAGCUAAUGCAAAGUAAUAUGAUGUAGCUUCACUUUGUUUCACUGUCAGCUAAAUUAAAUUGCAUUAUUAUAUCUUUGUCACAAGCCAAGAAAUUGUACCCAGACUGCUACCUCAGCUCUUCUGAUGUUUGAUAACUUGUUAAGUUGCUCUCACUUGAUGUGUCAGAGCCUCGAGUCUUUCACAGCUGUUACGAAGUCCUUGGGAGUCCUGCUUUUGUUACCCUGGGAUGUAUUCUUGUUUGUAAGUUUUUGUGGCUGUAUAUAGCCCAGAUUUACACAGGCUGUCACAGACUGGAUGCUUUUUAUUGAUCAGGAAAUCCAGUCUACACCUCCCAAGAGGCCAGCACUUUUUGAUUCAAGCCCUUCAAAGUCCUUUUACAAGAAUUAAAAAUAAUAGAAUAAACCCUGAAAAGGUUCUGUCAGAUCCAUGGUAUCUGCAAAGCUAUAAAUAGAGAGAUACUUUCUAAGUUCAUAGAACUUCAUUGUUUUCAGAUAGCUAUUGAGAGGAAUAGCAUGAAAGAAAGGUUGUCUGUUUCUUUAGUAAAAUAUAGAUUGAUUCUCCUAAAUGAAGACAGUCAGCAAGAAUGAUGUGAUCUGAGACAGAAAAACAGCAAAAAUUCAGAGUUUAUAUAAAUAUAUCUUUUUAACUUAUGCCUCAACUCCAGCAGCCUGCCAUAAAGAAAAUGAAAAGCAAACUGAAAAUACAGACAUUCUAAUAAAUGCAGAGGGAAGAAUAAAACUAAGAAUUAUAUUUUGCAAACAGAAGACUAGGAAAAAUGUGGGCCUGCUGCUGAAUUAGAUGCAGAGAAGUUGGAGUUGCUGAAUGCUCUCUUUGCUUCAGUCUUUACUGUUAGGGCUGGUUGUCAGGAAUCUCAGACCCUGGAGGAAAGAGAUAAAAGUCUGGAGAAAGGAAGACUGUCCCUUGGUUAGAGAUCAUCUAGGCAAACUGGACACUUUCAAAUCCUUGGACCCUGGUGGGAUGCAUCCACAAGUGUUGAGGGACAUGGCAGAUGUUGUUGCUAAACUGCUCUCCAUCAUCUUUGAAAGACCGUGGAGAACAGGAGAGGUCCCCGAGGACGGGAGAAAAAUUAAUAUCACUUCAGUCCUCAAAAAGGACAAUCCAGUAGCCUUCUGUGAUCUCAUGACUGGCUGGGCAGAUGAGGGGAGAGAGGUGGGUGCUGUCUGCCUCGACUUCAGCAAGGCUUUUGACACUGUCUCCCACAACGUUCUCAUAGGUAAGCUUAGGAAGUGCAGGAUAGGUGGAGUGGACAGCAAGAUGAAUUGAGAACGGGAUGGAUGGCAGAGCUCAUUUUUUACAAUCAGCAGCACAGAAUCCAAUUGCAAGCCUGUGGUCAGCAAUGUUCCCCAGGGAACCUGCUGCACAUUGAAUAAGAGUGGGCCAAGUAUUUGUCAAUGACCCAGAUGAGGGAACAGAGUGUAUUCUCAGCAAGUCUGCUAAAGAUAUAAAAGUGGGAGGCGUGACUGAUACAUUGGAAGGCUGUACUGCCGCUCCGUGAGACCUGGACAGGCUAGAAAGCUGAGUCGAGAGUAACCUAAUGAAGUUCAACAAAGGCAAGUGUAGGGUUCUGCAUCUCAGGAGGAAUAACCCCCUGCACCAAUACAGAUUAGGGGGUUGACCAGCUCAAAAGCAGCUCUACAGAAACUAGAUGAUCUCCAGAAGUUGCUUUCAACCCCAAAUAUUCUGUGUGAUUUUUUUCUCGACUAAUCCUCUAUCACUAAAAGCUGUUUUGCUUUAUGGUCACAAAUUAAUCCAAUAUGAAGUUUAAAAAAGGGGAGGUUUCUUUUCUGUUUGUAGAUUUAAUCAUUAGUAAAAAUAUUUCAAGUGCAGUUGGCACCAUUAAAGUCAAAUAAAACCUCUGUCUCACACAUGCAAAAACUGACCAUAGUAUCUUUCUAUGUUGGCUGGUAAGAGGUAGUUUUUCCCUGGAGCCAGCUUCCAUCGGAUCAGUAAUGCUCCAGUCUGUAGCAGAGAAAGUUUGCGUUAGGAUCAGUAUACCACCAUGCAUAAUAAUGAAUCACACCCUACAUUGAUUUAGUAAACCAAUAGGUUUUAUUAACUCAACAAUGAGAUUAAAAUGGAUUAAAGCAGGAGAGGGGCUCCAUCAUUGCACUAGUAAUUUAACCCUGAUUCUACAGCAAGUGCAAUUCUUUAUUUUUAAUACCUGCUUAGACUCCUCUCAGUAACACCGAAAUAUUUGUCCACAGGGAAAAGCAUAGCUGAUAUAGGCAAAUCACAUAUCCACAUAUAUCUACAGACAGAGAAAAAGAGACACCAACUUUAAUCAGUGUUGGGACUUUCCAGUGUUAGUGCAGGCAAAGUUGUCAAUGAUUUUUUCUUGGAAGGGAAUUCUAAAAACCAAUAAAUAGAGAAGAUCCCCAGGACUGUAAGGGAAACACUGGCUCAGCCUUGAUGCUUGCUACACCUGCACUGCCCUCCUCACCCUGAUAGCCAGUGCCCACGGUGAGGCAGAGGUGGCUGGGUCGCACACUAGCUUUCAACUGCAUAGCUCUGGCAGUGCCACAGUACGAAGCAGCAGCACAAAGCUGUAAGAUCUGCCUGAGAAUAUAAGUAAAUUAGGUCAAUCAGAGCUGCAUUGCUAUCAGUACCCAAGUGGGCAGUUUUAAAGCCAUGAAUACUUCUCCACUCUAUUAUCUCUAGCUUAAAUUUGUGCCUAUCCCAUUAGUUUCAGCACAUUCUGGAUGCUACACCACCUUCCUACAGGACUUUUUGAGGGAGUUGUACCAUCGGUACAAAUCAACAGUUUCCAGCCUACUGACCCAAGGAUGCCUGGGGGGCUGUGGGUUAUUUCUGAGGGAUUUGCAGUGGGUAGCUAUAAAUCUCAUGAAACUGUAAAGCUAUUGGUGGUAAGCUCAGAUCUGCUGGAUAGGGCUUAUUCUUGGAAAGCAAGAAGGUUUCAGAGGUCAGCAAAUUGAAGGUUGAAUAACACUUCUGUACAACUUGUCCUAAAGUCUAGGAGACCUUCCCAUUUUGUCUGGCUGAACCAUCUACCCAAAUGCUCUUUGACUCAAAAUGGAUCUUAACAAGGAUUCCUGUUACUGGCUCCGAGCCCAGCCCAGUAAAGGCCAGUUUUGUAAGGAUUGGCCUAUGAGGUACGGGAGCAUAGAAGGUAGGCCUGAAGGAGACCCCCAGGAAGUAUCUGGCCCCCCUUUCGAGACAGAAAAACUCACAUAAUGAGUAUUUAAUUGCUUUAGCAUGUAACGUUUGUAUAAAUUGUGUGUAAUCAACAAUUUGUCAUACACAUGCAAUAAAAUUGAGAAAAUAUUCAAUGUGUCUUCACACAUAAAGCUAAAAUAAAUCUAACCCUCUCUUCCUGAGUUAAACCUCCAUGAACAUCUGGAUCAAUAACCGUCCUUCUAAGCCAUCAUCCACCCACCUCACUCCUUCCCAACUCCUACUGUUUUCUGAGAGACGUUUGAUUUAAAUUGCCAAUAACUAUCCUCACGAUUGCUGUAAUUAUGACACUCAUUAUUAUUGCUAUUUGUUAUUAGAUCAAUAAAGGAAAUGUUUUUUCUGUCUGUAGGGAUUUGCAAGAUUUUGAAUUUAUUUUUCCAAUUCUGGAUUCACAAGUGGUUACCAAGAAAUAAUCUGAAAAAAAAGCACAGAUCAGAUCAAUUAGAUCAUUGAAAAGAUUUCAUUUAGAUGGUGGUGAGUUUCCCGAAAUAAAAACAUAAUUAACUUAGCUCUUGAAAAUGAGGACAAAGGAUGUAUUUGUCAUUUUUAAAAAAUAUAGUUUCUUCAAAUGGAGAAAUUAUACUGAGCUGCUCUACAAACAGUUUGUACUGACCUACUGACAUCAAGAGGAAAAAAACACAUAAUCAGAAGGUUGUCAUCUUGCCUUUUACUAUUAAAAAUUUAUAUAACUCAUGCAAAGUUGCAUAAAAAAGUUAUUGCUGGUGUUCUCAAAAAGAAAAAGAAUGGCCUAAAGGAAUUAGGUACAAUCAGGGAUUUAGAGUCUGAAACUUCUUAGAUGUUUUUGAUUUGAUCUCAGCCCUCGGGUCACACAGAAAUGACCUCUAAUUCUGCAGCUCUGGGAGAGCUUUCCAGAGCUCUCAGAAUUUUAUUCCAGGAUAUAUAGAUUUAUUUUUGUACAGUUACCAAGUAAUCACCAAACACUUAUGCAUCAUUUUAACAAUUAAAAAGUUCUCUGAACACGUUUACUUGGAACGAAUCUUAUUAAUUCUAUCCCAGUAUCAUCAGAUUUAGUCAAAUGUUGAGCAUCUCAGAUAUUUCAGAUCCAGGCUUUGGAGCAUGGACAGCUGAUACAGACUGGACUUGUCAGAGAGUUCAAUCUGUGAACUUGGCAAUUACAUAAGCGAGUGACUCAUGCCUCACUUCUUGUUUGUCUCUUAGCUCAGACACAUUUUUUGGAGAAGAGCUGUGGAAAUAGUUGUUUUUCAGAGGUUGGUAGCAAUUCUGAUUGCACAAGAAUACUAUAAAUCACAUUCAAAAUCUGAUGACAGCUUCCUUUACUGUUGUGCUUUAAAAAGGUUACAUCUAAAGAGGUUUUCUGCUCAUUUCUGGCAUCUUGAACUUCUCUGACCCUUUGCCUUUGUCUCUUCACCCUAAAACCUCAGGGCAUUUAAGGUAUUUAUGCCAUUAACUGUCAUUCUUCCACAAAUGCCCCACCUGUCUUACCUUUGCCUGGUCUAGCUCCAGCCAGAUUAUUUUGUCUGUAUAAAGCAUUGAUGCUGAGCCUCAGCAGGUCAUUACCGUGAGCCUCAGCAACAGGGCAGAGCCUGCAGACCACUCGUUUGACCUCUCAUAGAGGUAUUUAGUGAUGGCUGCAGCAGCAGCUCCAAGAGGCAGCAAAAAGUAUGAGUAUUUAUGAACUGUGAAGACUUAAGGACUCGCCCAGCAAAUUGUGUCAGUUCCCGACUCUGUAAAAUGGGAGUGAUCCACUGAAUUCCACCAGAGGAAGAGGGUGGCAAUCAGGUAAUAUGUUCUACUGGAGGCACUGGGGACUGUCACUAUGGCAUGACUGUCUUCAGGGUGUAGAAGGAUGGGGCAGGAUGCAGCCAGCUCCUUGUGAUGGUGUGAGAAAACCAGUCGCACAUAGGACAUCUCCUUGCCUGAUAAAGGAAAGAGUGGGACUGCAAAGAGUAUAAUGCAAGGAAAAGCUAUGUAAUGCAAAGAGAGAUAAAAAGAAGCUCAAAGCAUAGAUCCCAAAUAAAUGACACAAGCCAAGAAAAGAAAAAUUACAUGAAACUCCAGCCUGGCCAUUUCCUCACCCUGCUGCCACAUUAAUAUGGACAUUCGAUGUAGCAUUCUGUGGGGGCAUUUGCCAUAGCUGAAGAACAAGAGUUAGAGUAUUUCUAAUGUACCAUCUAUUUCUCCAUAAGCUAUCUGAGUUGUUCUCUGUUGAGUUAAAAAGGGCAAUCAUAUGAAAAGGUCUUUAACCCUGCUGCAAGUGACCGGAGGAGGGUGGAAUAUUUCUGAACAUACCUGCAAAGUUUGUGAGGACAGCCUGGGGAAAAUCAGCCCAACAAACGUCUGGUUCAUAGCUAGGUUCUCCAGAUGGCAUCAAUAUAUCAUGAAGAGUCAAAGAGAGCCUUUCUGAAUGCAAAUUACUAUUCACAUUUUAGCUAAUUUAUGUAAAUUAGCUCAUUCACUCUUCCACUUAAUCCUCUCUGGAGUUACUCCAAGGUUUGAAAGGAAAGAUAUUCUUCUUGCAAAAUAUAUAUAAUCCAUAUUAAUUGCUUCUGAUGGAGAUGAGUGGGAUGGACAGCUAUUCCAGCAGUUAAUACUUUAAUCGCUUCACCUCAGCAGCAGACCUGACUCAGGUGUACAGCACCUAACUGUCUGUCCCCAUUGCUAAUGUAAACUGUAAACGGCCGUGUAUCGGGAUGUUUCCAGGGCAGGCUUUCAGGCAGGCAGAUUUGGGGAAGGAAUCGAUCAUCACUGAACAGGCUUGAGAAAGCUGGUACGUGGACAGAUCCAACAGGCAGCAGCUCACAUCUUGGCUACUCAAGAGGGAAAAAGGGCUGCAGGAAUGGGAUGAAGCUCAGUGACAGGUGCAUGGAUUGCCUGGAGGACGCUGGGCUUUGCACAUGGAUCCACAAAGGCAGAGUUGUGAGAGGGGUCAAACUGAGCUAUGACAAGAGGUCCUCUUCUGAGGAAGCGGGAAAGGCAGCAAUAGCAGAGGUGAAAGGAAGGGGUCAGCACAGCAUCCCCAUCAGGCUAAGCCAGAGGCAUGGAAAUACACAGGGGCCCAUCUAAGCAAUUGACUCCAAUGCAUCUUGAGUCCACCCAGAAUGAGAAAGAAGCACAGGUGUGCUCCAACAACUUUCCCACUCCGUCCUGAACCAGAAGAGGAUUGAUAGAAGAAUUAAUGGAAAGAAUAGAAGAUGAUCGAGUUAGGAAGUCUCUCAAAAUUAUCCACUUAAUAGGAAGAAAUUAAAAUAUGUUUGGGCAUAUUGACUUCAAUCUGUCCUUGGUUUAAUGUUUAUAUGUUAUCUUGAAUAGCUGUUGUUUAACCAUACACUGGUACUUAUGGAUUUCUUAGACCUGUCCCUUGUGUCUGGAUGGCUGUGAUCAGAUACAGAGAUAAAAUAGAAAGACUAAUUCUGAAAUCAAUGAAUUAGAGAUUUAAUACAUUGAUAUUUUAUCUCUUAUCUUUGUAGAGAGAAGAGAUUAAUAUGUGAGCAGUAAAACAUGCUGUGCCACUUUGUUGUACCUGACAGAGCUCAGAAUAACUCACUUGCAGAUUGGGUUUUCUCGGGAUGAGCUGUGAGUGCGCGGCAACCUAUUACACUGUACCAAAACUCACCCAAAUCCAAGUGAAGCAUAUGUUAAGUGCGGCGAAUGAGAACUGGGCCUGGAUUAGAUGUACUUUACUGAUAUCACCAAGCCCUGCUUGGCUCUGCAGUGGACCUGCAUCAAAUUACAUGAUCCCUUUGCAUUAUCUUCUUCCCAGAAUAAGGCAAGGGCAUUGGCCAAUGUUUUGCAACAGGUAUUUUUUCCCUAUAGUGCUGUCAGUAACUAGUCAUCUUUCACUGGUCAGAAAAACUUGUCUCUGAAGCGUUUUGAAUUGACAUUUCAAAUACAUUUUUUGUGUGUGUAAAGUCUGCAGGAAAACAAUAAAGCAAUUGAUUGGUGACUUUCAAGAAAUAGACGUUUUA
This is a long non-coding RNA of Cuculus canorus (common cuckoo), 12449 nucleotides long. RefSeq lists it as uncharacterized. The transcript has 4 exons. The record is from RefSeq and is a predicted model, not a curated record. NCBI's taxonomy places the organism in Eukaryota, Metazoa, Chordata, Aves, Cuculiformes, Cuculidae.